Molecule: ribosomal RNA, 253 nt
Filed under: uncultured bacterium
Lineage: Bacteria
Description: partial 16S ribosomal RNA
Rfam family: Bacterial small subunit ribosomal RNA
Source: RNAcentral
UACGAAGGGAGCUAGCGUUGUUCGGAAUUACUGGGCGUAAAGGGCGCGUAGGCGGGUUUCCAAGUCGGGGGUGAAAUUCCAGGGCUCAACCCUGGGACGGCCUUCGAUACUGGGAGCCUGGAGAUCGGGAGAGGUGAGUGGAAUUUCGAGUGUAGAGGUGAAAUUCGUAGAUAUUCGGAGGAACACCAGAAGCGAAGGCGGCUUUCUGGUCCGAUACUGACGCUGAGGUGCGAAAGCGUGGGGAGCGAUCCGG